This 440-nucleotide ribosomal RNA is filed under the name uncultured bacterium. Its description in RNAcentral is "partial 16S ribosomal RNA". It matches the Rfam family "Bacterial small subunit ribosomal RNA", at positions 338 to 795 of the family's 1533-position model. The record is from RNAcentral.
CCUACGGGUGGCAGCAGUGGGGAAUAUUGCACAAUGGGGGAAACCCUGAUGCAGCGACGCCGCGUGAGUGAAGAAGUAUCUCGGUAUGUAAAGCUCUAUUAGCAGGGAAGAAAAUGACGGUACCUGAUUAAGAAGCCCCGGCUAACUACGUGCCAGCAGCCGCGGGAAUUCGUAGGGGGCAGGCGUUAUCCGGAUUUACUGGGUGUAAAGGGAGUGUAGACGGCAGCACAAGUCUGGAGGGAAAUGCCGGGGCUUAACCCCGGAACUGCUUUGGAAACUGUGCAGCUAGAGUGCAGGAGAGGUAAGUGGAAUUCGUGGUGUAGCGGUGAAAUGCGUAGAUAUUAGGAGGAACACCGGUGGCGAAGGCGGCUUACUGGAGUGUAACUGACGUUGAGGCACGAAAGCGUGGGGAGCGAACAGGAUUAGAUACCCUAGUAGUC